Cucurbita moschata (crookneck pumpkin) is the source of this 125-nucleotide long non-coding RNA. RefSeq lists it as uncharacterized. NCBI's taxonomy places the organism in Eukaryota, Viridiplantae, Streptophyta, Magnoliopsida, Cucurbitales, Cucurbitaceae. The record is from RefSeq and is a predicted model, not a curated record. The transcript has 2 exons.
CAAUAUGUAACGGGUCAAAACGAACAAUAUCUGCUAGCAGUGGACUUGGAUUAUUUCAUGACCACAUUGAUAGAUAACUAUUCAAGGCAAUGGUCCAUGAAUUGCUAAGUUUUCAAGAGAACAAA